GCCGGGUGUAGGGGUGCACACCUGUAGUCCCAGCUACUGAGGAGGCUGAGGCAGGAGAAUCACUUGAACCUGGGAGGCGGAGGUUGCAGUGAGCCGAGAUGGCUCCACUGCACUCCAGCCUGGGCAACAGAGUGAGAUUCUGCCUCAA
Molecule: non-coding RNA, 148 nt
Filed under: Nomascus leucogenys (northern white-cheeked gibbon)
Lineage: Eukaryota; Metazoa; Chordata; Mammalia; Primates; Hylobatidae
Source: Rfam by way of RNAcentral